AUAACACCUAAUUUCUUACCCAU
This 23-nucleotide small nuclear RNA is filed under the name Arabidopsis thaliana (thale cress). Its description in RNAcentral is "snRNA_18570". The record is from RNAcentral. Lineage: Eukaryota; Viridiplantae; Streptophyta; Magnoliopsida; Brassicales; Brassicaceae.